GGGUGCCCAGGAAGGGAUGAUGCUCCUUGAAGACCCAAGAAAAGGAUUCUGAGCCUCAGAGCUCUGAAGGAGCCACUUGGUCCCUGACCUUCCUGGAGGCGAA
This is a small nucleolar RNA of Sorex araneus (European shrew), 103 nucleotides long. RefSeq annotates it as small nucleolar RNA SNORD124. The record is from RefSeq and is a predicted model, not a curated record. NCBI's taxonomy places the organism in Eukaryota, Metazoa, Chordata, Mammalia, Eulipotyphla, Soricidae. The transcript has a single exon.